AGCAUGUUGUAAAAACGUGCCAUAUGAUGAAAUAAUUUAAAGGAGGCCGUGAAAAACACUCCAGAAAGGUUUUCUUUGAAAAAAAAUCAUCAUGAAUUUUGGCGCAAAAAAAACGCCAUAGUAUACUAUGUCGAAAAAAAAUGCGAUUUUUCAACAUGUUGUAAAAACGUGCCAUAUGAUGAAAUAAUGUAAAGGAGGCCGUGAAAAACACUCCAGAAAGGUUUUCUUUGAAAAAAAAAACAUGAUUUUUGGCGCAAAAAAAAGGCCAUAGUAUGCUAUGUCGAAAAAUGUCAUUUUUCAACACUAAAUCUUAUUGAAAAACUCUAAGGUACAUUAAAAAAAAAAGUCCAGUAGAUGUCACUCUGCUUUGAAAUAGCAUGCAGAGCAAGUUAGUCUGCUCACAGGAAGUUAGCAUGAGCAAAAUCACUCUUCACAUGAGGCGUCUGUUUUUUGUGAUUUUCAAAGGUAAAGUAAUACUUUUGACACAUUAUGGUGCCUAAGGAGUUGCUGAACAAAAAUGUGUCAUUUGAAAUGUAAAAAAAAAGAUUUAAAAGGGUAAAAUAAUUUUUCUCAACCGUUUGGUAGAGGUCAGUAUUUUAAAAAUCGCUGGGUCACUUCAUAAUAAAACCAUUGAUUGUUGUUAUUAGUGCCCCAAAGAGAUAAGAAAGAUAAAGAAAUAUUUUUUCAUUGCCUUUUUCUUGGUGAGGAUGUUUAAGGGUUAACUUAACAUCUGUAAACAAAACAAAAACGUAUCAACAAAGUUUUCUGUUAGAGUUUGUGUUCUUGUAAGUUUAACUCCAAGAUUUUAAAUACUUUCAUUUACUGCAAAUGAAUAUCUACUCCAAAUGUCUCACUAAUAAUCAUUAUCAGCCUUAAAAACCCACAAAACACCCCUCUAUACUUGACCACACUUAGUACAGUCUGGUUCCCCCUUCUAUAAAUCUGCUUGGAAUCGUCCACUUCCUGUUUGUCAAAGUGGCCUUCUACCUGGACAGGUUUUGUUGGAGCUCAUGCAACAAACAUUUUGGGUAACUGCACUUUAAUAUGGAUGGAUGACACUGAAUUAGAGUCUGUUUUAAUGAGACUGAGGACUAAGAUGUGUAGCUCUGUCAUUAAGUAUGAAAUUAUUUCUCAGAAUUCACAGAGAAAAGUCUGAAAUGUUUGCUAGGUUAGCAUCCCACAUGUUCUUUGGCUCAGCUAAAGCUAACUCUCUCCAACUUCUGGAUCUCUUGAGUUGCUUGUUGUUAAAAUAUGUUGCUAAAGGUGCUGAAGCUCAGAAAGUCUGAGAUGUUUGUUCAAAAUAAGCUCAUUCUCAAGUCUUAUCUGAACUGUCCUCUUUUGUUUGAACUUUCCCUAAACUUAGGAGUUAAUGACAGAGCAGCACAUCCAGACUCAGUCUCAUUUAUGUAGAGAUUAAACUUCAGUGUCAUUCAUUGAUGUUAAAGUGCAGUUUUUCAAAUGUUUGUUGCACAUGCUCCCGACCAAACCAGUUCAGGUGGAAGACGAUGUGAAGAGAAAGCUCCAGAGGAUGAAUAUCACACAUUUACGUUGGAAAUAAAUGUCCUUUAAUUAGACAUUGUCAUGCAAAAGUUGGAUUUCCCUUUAAUGAUGUUCAAAUCUUUGUUGAGUGUUUUGAUGAUGUUGGUUUCUAAAUGUUUUCUGACACUCGGCCCCAAAGAUUAAAACCUUCUAUGGCUCACAAGCUGCAACAAUUCACACAUUCUCAACUAUCUUUCUGACUAAACUAAGAUAAAAAAGUGAAAAACUGCCUGAUUCCUGCAUCAUGAAUGUAAAUCUUUUUGGGUUUUUAUGACAGUAAACUGAAUAUAUUUGGGUUGUGGACAAAACAAAACGUUUGUCAUCUUUGGGAAACACUGAUCAAUGUUUUCCACCAUUUUUUGACAUUUUAUAAACCAAAACAAGAAAUGAAUUACUGGAGAAAACAACAGAUUAAUCGACAAAGAAAAUGUAUUUUCCAACAUAUAAGGCUGAAUUACUCCAACAUUACAAGAUACAUACAGUUUUAAAACAUGACAAAGUAAAAGAGUUUUAUUUUC
Molecule: long non-coding RNA, 2057 nt
Organism: Amphiprion ocellaris (clown anemonefish)
Lineage: Eukaryota; Metazoa; Chordata; Actinopteri; Pomacentridae
Exons: 2
Source: RefSeq, a predicted model, not a curated record